Molecule: ribosomal RNA, 642 nt
Filed under: uncultured Bacteroidota bacterium
Lineage: Bacteria; Pseudomonadati; Bacteroidota
Description: bacterial SSU rRNA
Rfam family: Bacterial small subunit ribosomal RNA
Source: RNAcentral
AGAGUUUGAUCAUGGCUCAGGAUGAACGCUAGCGGCAGGCCUAACACAUGCAAGUCGAGGGGUAACAGAAGAGCUUGCUCUUGCUGACGACCGGCGCACGGGUGCGUAACGCGUAUACAAUUUGCCUUGUACUGGAGGAUAGCCCGGAGAAAUUCGGAUUAAUACUCCAUAGUAUUUACGAAUCGCAUGAUUUGUAUCUUAAAGUUUCGGCGGUACAAGAUAAGUAUGCGUCCUAUUAGCUAGAUGGUAAGGUAACGGCUUACCAUGGCAACGAUAGGUAGGGGGCCUGAGAGGGUUAUCCCCCACACUGGUACUGAGACACGGACCAGACUCCUACGGGAGGCAGCAGUGAGGAAUAUUGGUCAAUGGAGGCAACUCUGAACCAGCCAUGCCGCGUGAAGGAAGAAUGUCCUACGGAUUGUAAACUUCUUUUAUUUGGGAAGAAACCCCUCUACGUGUAGAGGGCUGACGGUACCAAACGAAUAAGGACCGGCUAACUCCGUGCCAGCAGCCGCGGUAAUACGGAGGGUCCAAGCGUUAUCCGGAAUCAUUGGGUUUAAAGGGUUCGCAGGCGGUGAUUUAAGUCAGUGGUGAAAUCCCAUAGCUCAACUAUGGNAACUGCCAUUGAUACUGAAUCACUUG